GGCAGUUUCUGGAGCCCAGUGGCUAGGCUGUUUUUAAGUUGGCAAGUUCAGUGAGGCUGUCUCCAAAACUAAGGUGGGAAGAAACUGGGGAAGAAGAUGUUACAUGUCAGCCUCUAGCCUCCCUACAACGUGAGUGCACACUAGAGCACGCAAGCACACACUAGAGCACGUGAGUGCACACUAGAGCGCGAGAGCGCACACGCACGCGCACACAGGCAGGUUUAGGGCUGGCUGAGGAUGCUGCAGAGACUGGGCCAGUCCAAGUGCCCCUUCCCAGAACAGCUGUGUUAGAAUGUGUGCUAGUCAGUGGUGUGAAUCCUGCCGAGUUGGCCUCCCCUUGCUGACAGCCGUGACAGAUGUACAGAGAUGGGUCAUGAACAGCCCAUAUGUUAGAAAGAUGCUGUAGCAGGCCCCGGCUUGUUAGAUGCAAAAUAAAUGGUUCCUGACCUGGAUAAAUGAGUUUCAAAUUUGCAGAUGCCAACACGAAUCACAGUCUGUCUAAUUUUUUUUUUUCUAGCAGAAGUUAUGUAUGGAAUGGUCUGUAUGCAAACCCUACCAGGUAUCCUAAGCUGUCCCCAGGCCCCUAGGCCACCAGUAUGACCUGAGGCUUCCAUGGGUGCCCUCUCUCAAUGGGAGGUAUGGCAGAACUGACUAAGGGGACAGGAAUGUCACUGUCCUUUGUCCCAGUCCUAUAUAGGAGGGCGAGAAGCUGUGCCCCCUCCUCCACUGAACACAGUUGCCCUGAGAAACGGACCGGCCAAAGGAAGAUGCUUUGUGUUCUCUUCUACUUUUGUUUGGGUUUUAUUGUUUUCUGUUUGAGACAGGAUCUCCUGUAGCCUAGGCCAGCCUUGAACUUGCUUCGUAGCUGGGGUGACUUUGAACUUCUGACCCCUGCCUCCACCUCCCAUAUGCUGGAAUUAUAAUUACGUGCCACCAGCUUAUGUGGGGCAUGCUCGUCCCACCCAGGGCUGCGUGCGUGCUAGGCUAGCACUCUAGCAGCUUGAGGUACAGUUCCCUGUAACUCCUAGCAGGCCUGGACCUCUCUGACUGUGUAGUCAAGGGUGACUUUGGACUCCUGGUCCUUUGGCAUCUACCUACCAAAUACUAGGAUUACAGAUGUAUCAUCAUGCCUCAUUAGAAGGCAUCUUAAAAUUCUGGGUGUCUGAAGGUGUCAUCUCAGACGACCCCUUUUUUUUUUUUUUUUUUCUGCAGUUAAAAGUUAACAUCAUCAUGGGAUUUCUGAAUGUGAAAUUCACGGGGUGAGAUACAGCCCUUCCACCCUUUUUUUUUUUUCUUCCAUUUUUUAUUAGGUAUUUAGCUCAUUUACAUUUCCAAUGCUAUACCAAAAGUCCCCCAUACCCACCCACCCCCACUCCCCUACCCACCCACUCCCCCUUUUUGGCCCUGGCGUUCCCCUGUACUGGGGCAUACAAAGUUUGUGUUUGCAAUGGGCCUCUCUUUCCAGUGAUGGCCGACUAGGCCAUCUUUUGAUACAUAUGCAGCUAGAGUCAAGAGCUCCGGGGUACUGGUUAGUUCAUAAUGUUGUUCCACCUAUAGGGUUGCAGAUCCCUUUAGCUCCUUGGGUUCUUUCUCUAGCUCCUCCAUUGGUAGCCCUGUGAUCCAUCCAUUAGCUGGCUGUGAGCAUCCACUUCUGUGUUUGCUAGGCCCCGGCAUAGUCUCACAAGAGAUAGCUACAUCUGGGUCCUUUCGAUAAAAUCUUGCUAGGGUAUGCAAUGGUGUCAGCGUUUGGAUGCUGAUUAUGGGGUGGAUCCCUGGAUAUGGCAGUCUCUACAUUGUCCAUCCUUUCAUCUCAGCUCCAAACUUUGUCUCUGUAACUCCUUCCAUGGGUGUUUUGUUCCCAAUUCUAAGGAGGGGCAUAGUAUCCACACUUCAGUCUUCAUUCUUCUUAAAUCAAUACGGUCUGCCCAGUGACAGAGCCAGCUGUAAACAACGGGGCCGCGGGAGGGGCUUGGUUAGUCUUUUCAAAGCCAGUGGUGUUUAUGAACACACACAGACAGACAGCAAAGAAUAUCCCUAAGUGGCAUAACAAAACAAAACAAAACAACACAACAGGAUUGGGUUACUACUUUCCUAUAACAAGAGUUCCUGAAAAACCUUGGAAUUUGCCCUCUUCUGUAUGUUAAUGAAGGGCCCAUGUGAUUGGAAAAUUGGAACUUUGAACCCUUCUUUGAUCUCCAGACAAGAGAAAGCGCCUCCCCUUAGAUCAAGUGUAGUCACCAGUGAUCUGCCCAGUCCUAACGAGUAACGAGAAGAACAUUAAAACCCGUUAACAAGGUUCUAGAAGUUGGUGACCAUCCACAUGCCAAGAGAGCGUGAACUCCUAGGUGUUUGGGGAGAGACUCAUGUGCUGAUGACCUACCAAGCCCUUACCUCCUUUGUUUGAUUGCCUCUUUAUUUGCAUUCUAUAUAAUAAACUCUAUUGUAGUGAGAAGUUUCCUGAGCUUACAAGUUCUAGAAAAUGAUCAAACAAUAGGGAAAGGGGUCAUGGGAACCCCCAGAUUUACAGGCGCUGGGCAGAAAAUGCAUAGCCUUGACAUCUCAUUUGUGGUUGGCAUUUGGGACCGACUUGUGGGACCAAGCCCUUAUCGUGUGGGUGGUUAGGGUCAGAAUUGAAUCAGAUGGUUGGAUAUCCGGUUGGUGUCGGGGAGAACUGGUUAGUUUGGAGAAAACCCACAUACACCUCAGUUUUGUCUAACUCAUUCCUUAAAUAUUACAUCCUUCCAGGGGACUCUGUGAUAUGUAAACAUACCUAAAUUUAAACUUAGUUCGACUGACAAGCCCUCUGCCUCUUUUGACCCUAUUUCUGCAUCUAUGAAGGGGUGCACUGAAUAAUCUCUAGGUAGAGUUUGGUUUUGUGGUUUGGGUUUCUGAUUUUUGGUUUUUGUUUGAGAGACAGGGUCCUAAGUAGGCUGCUCAUGCUAACCCUGGAUAUUGGGUUCCAGUCAUCUUUCCUCAGCUCCUCAGAUGAGACUACAUGUGUAUCCCGGCCAUUCAGCCCAUCUUGGAAGUGAGCGUAUGUGCAACCAGAAGAGAAAUGUAUUUGAGAAAAUGACAUCUCCUUUUACCCUUACCAUUCUAAAUAAUCCAUGUUCUUAAACUCCUACCACAUCAGCAAAACCACAGUGAGUUGAACCAGCCAUCCCUGGUCCCUCCUACCUCCGCUGAGACUUAUCCUCAAGAUGAUCUGGCCCUUUCCUAAAUCCUUGGAGGUCCAGCAGAGAGCUAAGCGGAAACCUCCUUAGUUCUCAGGACCCUAAAGAAGCGGCUAAAGUCAGGGCCGGGAAGCAGGCAAGUGAUAUGAGCAGCAAAACUGACACUCCCAACCAGCACAGCUGACGAAGAAACAACACUCUGCUGCCAGGGUGGCAACAGUUGGUAAGACCAACGUGUGUGCCCCAGCUAAGCUGAGUGCGGAGUCUGUCUGCUACGUUGCCCUGCAUUUGGAGAGUGACCCAACCACCAGAUGCCGACCACCCCUAUCAAAUGAGCAGUCCAUGGGUUCCACUCCUGACUGGUGUAGGACCAGCCUGAGGUUGCCUGCCAUUUCUCCUCCUGAUGCCCAAGGUGACGUUUACCCUAUUGCUUUGCUAUUCUGAUUAUAGGAGGAAUCUCUUCAUUGAAACUUUGAAGACAAGGGUCUGGGGGUGGAGUCUGUUAAGACACAUACUUAGUGUUCUUGAAGUUCUAGAUUGAAUCCCCAGCAACCCCUCCCGUGCCCAAGAGAGACUGAAAACAAAAAUUAAAGAAUAUAAAUCUCACAUUAUCUUGUAACAACAAAAAGCCUAUAGACUUUAGGACAUUUUUUUCCAGUGUUUUCCAUAUCUUUUAAUAUAAUUGGGGUCUGCUGUCCUUACUUGACAUAAUACAGGCAGCACCAAUCACAUGUGGCUAUUUACAUUUUUUAUUUAUUUUAUUUUGAGUUUCAGUUUUGUUGUUGUUGUUGUUGUAUUUGGUUUUCUUGUUGUUGUUUUUCAAGACAGGGUUUCUCUGUAUAGCCCUGGCUGUUCUGGAACUCACUCCAUAGACCAGACCGGCCUCAAACUCAGAAAUCUGCCUGCCUCUGCCUCCCAAGUGCUGGGAUUAAAGGUGAGCGACACCACUGCCCAGCCCUUAUUUUAAAAAUUUAAGAUUAGGUGGCAGGAGAGAUAGCUCAGUGAUUAAGAGCACUGACUGCUCUUCCAAAGGUCCUGAGUUCAAUUCCUAGCACCCACACCGUAGCUCACAACCAUCUGUAUUGUGUCUGAAGACAAUGAUGGUGUACUCACAUACAUUAAAAAUUUAAGAUUAAAAAAUGCAUCAUUGGUGGUAUAUCUCCAUGGUACAGCAUUGGCCUAGCUUUUAUUUGUAAGGACGGCUCUGGGUUCAGUUCCCAACAUACACACCACAGACCCCCCACCCCCAACACACACACACACAAAUGGAAGUUUGCAAUUCCUUAAAAGCACUUUUGAAGCCAGAGACUGAAAACGCCUGGUGGUCACAUGUACUCUGUGUCUGUGUGGGAGCCAUUGCUGUCACUAAGGAAUUCUGUCAGACUGUACCAACACAUGCCAUUUUGACAGUCUUGGUUAUUUAUUUAUUUAUUUAUUUAUUUAUUUAUUUAUUUAUUUUUUCCGAGACAGGGUUUCUCUAUAUAGCCCUGGCUGUCCUGGAACUCACUUUGUAGACCAGGCUGGUCUCAAACUCAGAAAUCUGCCUGCCUCUGCCUCCCAAGUGCUGGGAUUAAAGGUCUGCGCCGGUGGUUUUUUAUUUUUAUUUUUGUUUUUUCAAGACGGUUUCUCUAUGUAACAGCCCUGGCUGUCCUGAAACUCACUCUGUAGACCAGGCUGGUCUUGAACUCUCAGAGGUCUGCCUGCCUCUGCCUCCCAAGUGCUGGGACUAAAGGCAUGUGGAACCAUGCCCGCCCAACAUUCUUGUUUUUAUGUGGAGCUGGGGAUCCACCAGGUAUGCUAAGCAAGCAUUGUACCCGGAGCCACAUCUCUAACUCUCAGGUUUUGAGACAAGGUCUCACUAUAUAGUAGAGCCCAGGCUGGCCUCAAAUCUCUGAUGAAAACUCCAUUUUUAAGGACUACAUAUGGUAAUUUAUUUUAUUGAUCUUCUAGUCUUAACCAUUUAGGUAACAUGUUUUUGUUGUUGUUGUUGUUGUGGGGUUUUUUUUUGUGUUUUUUUGUUUUGUUUUUUUUUGUUGUUGUUUUUGUUUUUUUCUAGACAGGGUUUCUCUGUGUAGCCCUGGCUGUCCUGGAACUCACUUUGUAGACCAGGCUGGCCUCGAACUCAGAAAUCCACCUGCCUCUGCCUCCCGAGUGCUGGGAUUAAAGGCAUGUGCCACCACGCCCGGCUACAUGUUUUAUUUUUAAUAAUGUUGUAUGGAACUGUCUUGUCAGCUCCUUAUCUGCCCACCUAGUUAUUUCUAGGUGGCUUUUACAGGGUGGUAUUUAGUCAGGGAAGGGAUGUAUUUUCAAGGCUUUGAAUAGAAUGCCCAGUUCUUUCAGAGAAGGGCCCCACCCCACCCCCUACCCCGACCCCCCCCUCUCUCUCAGCAUACAUGACCCUCACUGUGUAUGUCAACCCUCUAAUACAAAAAACAAAAACAAAAAAACCUGUCUGCCUGCCUCCGAGCGUACAUCCAGCGACUUGGGUAAGCCCUGCAAUGAUCUAGGAAGAUAAAGGCCACCCCAGCAGCAGGCUAGACUGUCCGGCUUGGAGUUCCAGAAACUUCUGCUGCACCAGCUCAGGUCUGCGUCUUUUGACCAGCGUGGGGUUCUUUACCAGCUUGGGUGUGUGGCCCGUUGCCCAGAUCACACCCCAGGACAGGCAGAGCCAGACUUGACCCAGCCUUUCCUAUAAGGUUCAGCUUUCCUAAGCAAACACACUCAGGCCACUGGCCUCUGGGAGGAAAGCCACUACCUAAACUGACUUUCUGCCCAGGGAGGACCCCCAAAUUCUUACACUCCCGAAGCUCCUAUUGCAAGGCUGCCUACUCAGGAAACCCCUGCCACUUCCAGCAGGCCAAGCGGAAAGCACGGGCAUCUCUGGUUCCUUCAUCAGGAUCUAUCGCCUCGUCUCUAGACCCCACAUUAAUAAAGCCAGUCGCCACCCCAGAGAUGCAGGAUGCCCUCUAGAACCAGCACCCUGGGAAACGUGUAGCUUUCUAGGAUCUUUCCUGGACAUCCCCUUGGUUAAACUUUGAGUGUUAUUUGAAGAAGCUGCUAGAGGUCACCCAGGGAUGCCUCUGGUCCUCAUUAACCUCCCUUCAGUUAGCCCAUCAGUAAACACAGGGCAUCCUUCCAGAACACAAGAAGGAGCGCCAACUGCUCUUCUGAAGGUCAUGAAUUCAAAUCCUAGCCACCACAUGAUGGCUCACAAUCAUCCGUAAUGAGACCUGAUGCUCUGUUCUGGUGUGUCUGAAGACAGCUACAGCAAACCAAUUUUACAUAUAAUAAAUAAAUAAAUCUUUAAAAAAAAAAAAAAAGAACACAAGAAGUGGAAAGUUCAUGGGGGCCACAGGGCAGCAUAAACAGAGAAACUGAGUCAAAUACGAUUCUGAUAGUAUUUCCUGCUGUCGUGCCAGCCAUACUCACCGUGUCCUAGUGGUUCAGAGUAAAGCAGACACUGACCUGGGCCACCGUGUCCCUUAUUAUCACAGAGCACAUCAAGGAUGGAGCCCCAUGCACUGGUGACAGACCUGGGUGAUUUAUGAAAAACUCGUCUGACAGAAGGGAAGAAAAUAGCCUUUGAAAGUAAGAUGCCAUGCAGGAGUUCACAGAGAGACCAAAACCCAGGCCAGCCCCACCCCAUCCUGCCCUGAUAGUGGAGGUCAAGGCUGACAAGCACCACUGGUUCUUGCCAAAAUACAGACCUUGCUCUCUACAUCAAGUUCCUUCCUGUUUUCACAAAGCAGUCUCAUUACUUGGGAGGAUCAAAACUUUCCCAGUACCCUACCCCCUUCCUAGGGAAGACCCUUGGCCUUGGACAGGAUCACAGAGCCUCUGAAGGAGGUGCCGGGUGAUCUGCCCUCACUGACAACAUGACACUGUGGCUUGGGGAGGACCAGUGACCCCAAUGUGGCAGCUGCUGCUUGGGGGCCCUUUAAUUAUUUAGAGAAUGUAUACUAUUCAGCUCCUUGGCUCCAUUUCUGAGUUCAGAGAGGCAAUGCCCUGGCGACUGUUUCCAGUGAAGAAUGAAAUUCCUACUUGUCACGGUCACCGAAGGAAACCAAACACGAAUCAGCAGCAGCGGCAGUCUUCUGCUGCAGAAAUGGCACAAGUCCAAGGCAGCGACCAGGACCGGCCGAGGCGACAGAAAAAAGGUCUCUGCCAUGCCUCUCUCAACAAAGUAAAGAUCAUCGAAGAUGAAGACACGAGGCCAAUGAAGCGUCGUGACGCAGGCUACGCAAGCACACUGCCGCUGUCAAUACUCUCCAGACAUCACGUGUCCUCCCACGUGUCUCGCCUCAGCAAAACACCAUAAAGCUGUCUGCAUAGUUUCCUGCCAUGCUGCUCUGUGCUCAGAUUCCGAGGUUCGGUGUUCCCAUUGUUGGAACAUGGUCCACGAAGCUGUGUGAGGUUUCUGAGACCCUGUGAGAAAACUCCAAGUACAAGACAAGAGUCCUGUGGUCUCUGCUCCUUCACAGCAUGGGGUUUUCUUGGAAUGCGUUUUUGUGUUCUUCCCAGGUGUAGGGGACAGGAGUGAAUUUACUUCGACUGUUGUUAUUAAGAUUCCUCUAUGGAAAAAAAAAAAAAACAUGUUUUUGUCACUUGUGGCUUGUUCUUCCGGAUUUUACACUCUACUCUCUUGGGUGACUCUUCUUUUUUGUUUUUGUUUUUUGUUUGUUUGUUUGUUUUUUGUUUUUCGAGACAGUAUUUCUCUGUGCAGCCCUGGCUGUCCUGGAACUCACUCUGUAGACCAGGCUGGCCUCGAACUCAGAAGUCCACCUGCCUCUGCCUCCCGAGUGCUGGGAUUAAAGGUUGGGUGACUCUUCUUAGCCCUCAGUAAUAUAGAUGGUCUGAUGCUCUCAAUAAAGUUGGCUGUUGCUUGA
This is a long non-coding RNA of Mus musculus (house mouse), 8059 nucleotides long. RefSeq annotates it as predicted gene, 39252. The record is from RefSeq and is a predicted model, not a curated record. Lineage: Eukaryota; Metazoa; Chordata; Mammalia; Rodentia; Muridae. The transcript has 3 exons.